RNAcentral lists this non-coding RNA (29 nucleotides) under Mus musculus (house mouse). Lineage: Eukaryota; Metazoa; Chordata; Mammalia; Rodentia; Muridae. The record is from RNAcentral.
UGCUCCGUUAGUUGCCCUGACAUAACUUC